RNAcentral lists this small RNA (1733 nucleotides) under Malus domestica (apple). RNAcentral's name for it is "sRNA MD07G0086000". The record is from RNAcentral. Lineage: Eukaryota; Viridiplantae; Streptophyta; Magnoliopsida; Rosales; Rosaceae.
UGUUUUUCCUUUCUUCUCUGUUCUCUCUCUUCCCUCUCGCUCUUCUCUCCGUGACUCAGCUAGCGAGGACAGAGAGCUGUUGACGUCCGAACACCGGCGAAUCGGACCUCAUCGUUACCACCAGUCGUCUCCCCUUCAUCUCAGGAACAAGAAACAGCUGUUGCAUGCCUCGGAUUGUUACUAUUUCGACGAGGGUUUACGAACUUAACCCCGAUUUUUGUGCCCAGAGAUGGAGAUCGGUGACGAUGAUCAGGAGUUCGGCGCUGUGUGGAUGAUCCCGGUGUAGGCUCUGGUUUUCAAACUCUGGUGAUUUGUAGGGUUUUGGGGGCGUGAAUUUUUGGGGAUUUCAUUUGGAUUUCUGGCCCUGAAUUUUGCAAGGACUGUCUGCCCUGUAUGUACACCAGAUGCUCCUGACAUUUCAAAUAAGUUAGGUGUCACUAGAUGGACUACUAAAGCAGCUAAGGGUAUUGAAAUCAGUUAUGCUUGAUUGGUGGUGGGAAAUAUGCAUGGUGGAUUCGAUCAAACUCUAUUUUCCUUUUUUUGGGUUUUAUUAGUUUAUAUGAAUUUUAAUAUAUUUUAUAAAUGAGUAAUGAGAAGAAAUUUUUUUUUUAAAAAAAAAAUUACCAGGUUAAUGCUGGGUUUUAUGUUCUAAUUUAUGGGUUUUGGUAAAAAGAGGUUUAGAUAUUUAGUUUUGAUUGCUCUGUUUUAUUUGCUCUAGGGUUUUGGAGAGUUUGAAUUUGGGAUCUUGGAAAAGCGCAAGAAAAAUAUUUCAAUCAAGUUUUAAAAGGAAGUUUCAAAGUGUAUCUGAAUGCAGGACAAGAGAAUAAUGUGAUGAGCCUCAAGAACGGUGAAGUAAGAAAUUAAGUCCUGAGAAGUAAAGCAUGUGAAUCAAUUAAAGGAAAUUUAGAGCUUUUUCCUUAGUAAUUAUGAGUUUUGAGUAGUAUAAUGAUCAAUAUAGUGGUUUCCUAUAUACGAGAGACUAAUCUCAAGGAUUUCAAGGGCCAGGUAUUUACGAUUCGACAACAUAUCUGUGAGUUGGCUUUUAUUUCCAACAUAUAUAUGAUGUGUUUAUAUGAAAUAUUGUGUUAUCAUGCCAUGCAUUCAUUUGUGUUAGUACUUAUUCUGCAGUCGGAACGAGCUUCACGUGUAUGUUCACACUCAUGCACUUACACUCAGAAUGGAUCCAUUUAGUGCAAGCCUAUACUAGUUUGCCUUAGGCGGGUGUAACACGCUUAGCGUGAGCUUGACAUGAUUAUAGUACUUGAGCGUAAAUUUAUACAUAGAGCUUGUUCAUGGUAGAAUAUAUCUCUGCAUGUACUCGUACUAAAUUGGUGUGUUUUUAGUUGAAUAAUGAUGUAAAUUGAGCUUCUUUAUGGGAAGUUACUUGUCACAUUGACAUUGAUAUGCUAUUGUGCCUCAGAAAAGAAGACAAAGGAUAAGCACAAAAGUAAACAUCACAAAGGCGAUCGUCUCUCGGGGGCAAUCUUCAUGAACUUGUACUUUCCAGUUCGAACAAAUAAUUUUAAAUUCACUUGGAACUUUGGUUUGUAACUUAAUUUUUUGCUUUUCGAUUUGUAACUUAUUUUAUUUUGAUUACAUGUUUUUUUUUUUAAUUUAAGUGGUUUGCUAGUAUAUUACUAAUGAUACAUUCAUAAAAUGAUGAGCAUGAUUUGCUACUAGUUUGUUGGUAUAAAAUUAGAACUUGUGUAAAGAACCGUGGUGAUAAAUAGAAU